GGAGAGGGAAGGGGCCUCCCUGCCCACUUCCUCACCAUCCGCCUCGAAAAGUUGUUCUUCAAGAUGGCUACUGGGAAUAAAGCAAAGACAGGGACACCUCUGCGGCGGGUCGCGGCAGAUUCUGGCUGGGGUGGGUGGCUCCGCUUCCCACCGGUGGCACCUUGAGCGGAGCGUCUGCUUCGAGAAUCAGGCAUCACGCUCUGCAGGUGAAAGUCGAGCAAUAGGCAAAGCUAUGACGCUUAACAAGAAAAGCAAUGACGGAACUACGUUCCGUGUGCUGUGCAGAUCAGCAUUCUUAAUUCCAAGGUGCUGGUGCGAGGACCUUUGAAAGACACUGGAUAUGACAGUACUCCCCUCAGUCAUCUACCCUCCAUCUCACAAAGAAGAGAGAGGCUUGUGAAUUUGUUAUACUUUGUGUUGGAGCAUGGGCAAAUUCUGGAGGAUCAGGCGAGCUUGUUUUCAUCUUUUAUGAGCAGCAUCUCCCUCCCUCUGUGCUGCAGCCUGUGGUGACACUGACCUCUGGUGAUCACGAACUUUAAUUACUAAAAAGUGCUGAAUAAGGCUGUGGCCCAUGCAGAAGUGACACCGUGCAGCCUCUUGAAGCGUGCUUCCAUCUCCAUGAUUUCUCCUUGCAUUCACCAAACAUGACAUUAACUCCACUGAAGUGAACAGAAACCAGAUCUCCACCCAGGCUAUUUUUUGUCCAUCUAGCCAAGAAAAGCAAAUAAAUCCAGGGCUAAGGCUCCAA
Pseudopipra pipra is the source of this 748-nucleotide long non-coding RNA. RefSeq lists it as uncharacterized. The record is from RefSeq and is a predicted model, not a curated record. The transcript has 3 exons. NCBI's taxonomy places the organism in Eukaryota, Metazoa, Chordata, Aves, Passeriformes, Pipridae.